Molecule: ribosomal RNA, 388 nt
Filed under: Faecalimonas nexilis
Lineage: Bacteria; Bacillati; Bacillota; Clostridia; Lachnospirales; Lachnospiraceae
Description: bacterial SSU rRNA
Rfam family: Bacterial small subunit ribosomal RNA
Source: RNAcentral
GACUGCCUCUGCAAGGAGGAGGAAGGCGGGGAUGACGUCAAAUCAUCAUGCCCCUUAUGACCUGGGCGACACACGUGCUACAAUGGACGGGACAGAGGGAAGCGAAGGCGCGAGCCGGAGCGGACCCCAGAAACCCGUUCCCAGUUCGGACUGCAGUCUGCAACUCGACUGCACGAAGCCGGAAUCGCUAGUAAUCGCGGAUCAGAAUGCCGCGGUGAAUACGUUCUCGGGCCUUGUACACACCGCCCGUCACACCAUGAGAGUUGGCAACACCCGAAGCCGGCGGCCCAACCCGCAAGGGAGGGAGCUGUCUAAGGUGGGGCUGAUGAUUGGGGUGAAGUCGUAACAAGGUAUCCCUACGGGAACGUGGGGAUGGAUCACCUCCUUU